ACCAUAAGGUUCCUCUGCAUUUAAUCGAGAAAAUCUUUCGCCUUUUACUGAAGACUUCCGUGCAAAGGUGCAGUUUAUGAGUAUAUGAGAAUUUUUGGAAUCCCCUAGAAAGAUCGGCAU
RNAcentral lists this small nuclear RNA (120 nucleotides) under Necator americanus (New World hookworm). Its description in RNAcentral is "U5 spliceosomal RNA". It matches the Rfam family "U5 spliceosomal RNA". Rfam says of the family: U5 RNA is a component of both types of known spliceosome. The precise function of this molecule is unknown, though it is known that the 5' loop is required for splice site selection and p220 binding, and that both the 3' stem-loop and the Sm site are important for Sm protein binding and cap methylation. Lineage: Eukaryota; Metazoa; Nematoda; Chromadorea; Rhabditida; Ancylostomatidae. The record is from Rfam by way of RNAcentral.